AUGAAGUCGGCUGUGUUAUCCGUCAUACAGCGGCAGCUCGCAGAGCGGUGUCUCCGAAACUUUGUCUGCAUUCAUCCACCCUGCACGGGGCGGCCUAGAGUUUUCGUGGCAGCAUCCACGCGACUCCUCGAUCUUCGACGUCCAUUAGUAGUACUGGUCCGGCAAGCUCUAUUGACAUGUAUUAGCGGUUUACCACACAGAGUCCUUUUCGAUUGUAAUGUGUUCCACAAGUACACUGAGUGCAUCUCAUCAUCUUCAUGCAAUUUUGUCCAUUGUGUUUCUUUUUUUAGACUAGAAUGGUACACAAUACUCGUGCUCAUCAUUGCAGGCUUGCAUGGAAUCAAGCAAACUCACAAUUUAAGCAGGGCACAUCCAUUAUUUUAG
RNAcentral lists this ribosomal RNA (384 nucleotides) under Triticum aestivum (bread wheat). Its description in RNAcentral is "partial small subunit ribosomal RNA". The record is from RNAcentral. Lineage: Eukaryota; Viridiplantae; Streptophyta; Magnoliopsida; Poales; Poaceae.